GUUAACGGAUGGAAGGCUGACAAACUCCUAUCUGUCCUGGCCGGCUGCCUCAGCUAAGAGAUCGCCAUGGACCAGUUUCUCUCAGCCUUGAGAGAAAGGGGUGUUCCUGAGGAGAACCUGGCAAGAAUGGCAGAGGACAAGAUCGAUCAAGACAUUGUAAAGUUCCUUGGAGAAGACAAACUCUCUGCUUUUAUUCCUCGAUAUGGAGACCGUGUGUUUGCCAGAAACUGGAAGGAGUUAUCCUCAAGUGAAAGGAUAGAGGAUACAGAGCAAA
Molecule: long non-coding RNA, 274 nt
Organism: Paramisgurnus dabryanus
Lineage: Eukaryota; Metazoa; Chordata; Actinopteri; Cypriniformes; Cobitidae
Source: RefSeq, a predicted model, not a curated record